UUAUUUGAUAAGAGUAGCUAGUGUAUUUUUUCUCUAAACAUUCAUUUGACUUUUCACUGUUCUAAAAUUCCUUUGAAAACCGGACUUUAGCCGUUGUUGCUCUGUUACCGUAAAGCUGAGAAUGCGAGAGCCGUGAAAAUUCAGGAGCGGCUCAUUUGACACCGCAGUUCCGAAUGACGGCUGGCUUGACCGCAGUGACGGCAGGUAGGGGGAGGUGAGCGAGAGCUCAUCACACAACACUUCCAACUGCUCCUCCCUGAUCAUGCUGGGGUCCAUGCUCCAGUCUUCACUGAGUCAGACUGCUGACCUUCUCGCCAACAUAAGCAGGUGCAGGGGUUUAUUCAAAGUACAGAAUGAAGACCAUGCAGCAAUCCAGGAGGCAAUCGAGGACACCACGGUGGGAAUUUCCCUCCUAAUGGAAAGUGGCGAGGAAGAGGACAUUCUCAUGGUCCACAUCUCCCAGGCUUUGGUGGUCGACCCACCAAGUGUCAGAGUGGCAGUUGCCAAGGCUUUUUUGGCCUUAUUUACAGCACAAAUCUGAUUACCAUCCUCAUGUCAGAAACACCUUUGAGUUAAUCCAAAGAAAAACUGUAAUAGAGUUGUAGGGCAAAGUUGUGCCUAAGGUUUCAGGCUUAAAGAGCAGACUCUUUUAAUAAAAAUGACCUUUAAAAAGUUUUUCCUAAGAAGGGAUUCCAGCUGUUUGCUUUGGCUCUGUUAUCUUCUGUUUAAUAAAAAUAGCAAGCCCAAUUUA
Oryzias latipes (Japanese medaka) is the source of this 751-nucleotide long non-coding RNA. RefSeq lists it as uncharacterized. NCBI's taxonomy places the organism in Eukaryota, Metazoa, Chordata, Actinopteri, Beloniformes, Adrianichthyidae. The record is from RefSeq and is a predicted model, not a curated record.